GCUCCCAUGGCGUAGUGGUCACUGCACUCGCCUUGCACGUGGGAGACCCGGGUUCGAUUCCCGGCGGAGUCA
Molecule: transfer RNA, 72 nt
Filed under: Diaphorina citri (Asian citrus psyllid)
Lineage: Eukaryota; Metazoa; Arthropoda; Insecta; Hemiptera; Psyllidae
Rfam family: tRNA
About the family: Transfer RNA (tRNA) molecules are approximately 80 nucleotides in length. Their secondary structure includes four short double-helical elements and three loops (D, anti-codon, and T loops).
Source: Rfam by way of RNAcentral